Molecule: transfer RNA, 78 nt
Filed under: Methanobacteriota archaeon
Lineage: Archaea; Methanobacteriati; Methanobacteriota
Description: Euryarchaeota archaeon (anaerobic digester metagenome) tRNA-Glu
Rfam family: tRNA
About the family: Transfer RNA (tRNA) molecules are approximately 80 nucleotides in length. Their secondary structure includes four short double-helical elements and three loops (D, anti-codon, and T loops).
Source: RNAcentral
GCUCCCGUAGUGUAGUCCGGUCAAUCAUUCGGGCCUUUCGAGCCCGACACUCGGGUUCAAAUCCCGGCGGGAGCACCA